UACAGAGGGAGCGAGCGUUGUUCGGAAUUACUGGGCGUAAAGGGCGCGUAGGCGGUCCGAUAAGUCCCGUGUGAAAUCCCUCGGCUCAACUGAGGAAUGGCACGGGAAACUGACGGGCUUGAGUUCGGGAGAGGGAAGCGGAAUUCCGGGUGUAGCGGUGAAAUGCGUAGAUAUCCGGAGGAGCACCGGUGGCGAAGGCGGCUUCCUGGACCGACACUGACGCUGAGGCGCGAAAGCUAGGGGAGCAAACGGG
This 253-nucleotide ribosomal RNA is filed under the name uncultured bacterium. RNAcentral's name for it is "partial 16S ribosomal RNA". It matches the Rfam family "Bacterial small subunit ribosomal RNA", at positions 524 to 776 of the family's 1533-position model. The record is from RNAcentral.